GACGAACCGUGCAAACGUUGUUCGGAAUCACUGGGCUUAAAGGGCGCGUAGGCGGGCAGUCAAGUCAGGGGUGAAAUCUUUCGGCUCAACCGGAAAAGUGCCUUUGAAACUGACUGUCUCGAGGGAGGUAGGGGCGUGCGGAACUUCCGGUGGAGCGGUGAAAUGCGCAGAUAUCGGGAGGAACACCGGUGGCGAAGGCGGUUCUCUGGGCCUUACCUGACGCUGAGGAGCGAAAGCGUGGGGAGCGAACAGG
This 253-nucleotide ribosomal RNA is filed under the name uncultured bacterium. RNAcentral describes it as "partial 16S ribosomal RNA". It matches the Rfam family "Bacterial small subunit ribosomal RNA", at positions 524 to 776 of the family's 1533-position model. The record is from RNAcentral.